Molecule: transfer RNA, 73 nt
Filed under: Myxococcaceae bacterium
Lineage: Bacteria; Pseudomonadati; Myxococcota; Myxococcia; Myxococcales; Myxococcaceae
Description: tRNA-Thr
Rfam family: tRNA
About the family: Transfer RNA (tRNA) molecules are approximately 80 nucleotides in length. Their secondary structure includes four short double-helical elements and three loops (D, anti-codon, and T loops).
Source: RNAcentral
GCCCCGAUAGCUCAGAUGGCAGAGCGCAUCCUUGGUAAGGAUGAGGUCUCCGGUUCAAUCCCGGAUCGGGGCU